GACGAACGCUGGCGGCGUGCUUAACACAUGCAAGUCGAACGGAAAGGCCCUGCUUUUGUGGGGUGCUCGAGUGGCGAACGGGUGAGUAACACGUGAGUAACCUGCCCUUGACUUUGGGAUAACUUCAGGAAACUGGGGCUAAUACCGGAUAGGAGCUCCUGCUGCAUGGUGGGGGUUGGAAAGUUUCGGCGGUUGGGGAUGGACUCGCGGCUUAUCAGCUUGUUGGUGGGGUAGUGGCUUACCAAGGCUUUGACGGGUAGCCGGCCUGAGAGGGUGACCGGCCACAUUGGGACUGAGAUACGGCCCAGACUCCUACGGGAGGCAGCAGUGGGGAAUAUUGCACAAUGGGCGGAAGCCUGAUGCAGCAACGCCGCGUGCGGGAUGACGGCCUUCGGGUUGUAAACCGCUUUCGCCUGUGACGAAGCGUGAGUGACGGUAAUGGGUAAAGAAGCACCGGCUAACUACGUGCCAGCAGCAGCCGCAG
RNAcentral lists this ribosomal RNA (484 nucleotides) under uncultured bacterium. RNAcentral describes it as "partial 16S ribosomal RNA". It matches the Rfam family "Bacterial small subunit ribosomal RNA", at positions 28 to 523 of the family's 1533-position model. The record is from RNAcentral.